This is a long non-coding RNA of Anneissia japonica, 830 nucleotides long. RefSeq lists it as uncharacterized. NCBI's taxonomy places the organism in Eukaryota, Metazoa, Echinodermata, Crinoidea, Comatulida, Comatulidae. The transcript is spliced from 3 exons. The record is from RefSeq and is a predicted model, not a curated record.
AGGAAAUGGAAGAGCCACCAGACGUAGAUAGAGGAGGUGGUGUCAUACGCAUACCAGAACUUCUACCAUUUGGCGUCGAAGUGGAGGACCCUGGUGGUGAAUCCUGGUUAUGUUUGCCCUAGCAACUUGACCAUAACAUUCAAGCUUCAAAGGGAUUCCAGUGCGGUAGACCUUAUGUAUGCAAUGACCUUGCUGCACCAAAACUUUGGAACCAGUACCAAAUGAUACCGAAACCUUAGAAAAUCCGGGAUGGUUUCCGGCGGGGGAUAGUUUUACCAAUGAGUUAAUUUAGUGUAUUUAAGCGUAUAGAGUGUAGUGAUUAUAGUAUCCUAGGUACAAUAAACUGCAUCUGGUUACAUACUAUGUUUUUUUAGAAAUGGAAAUUUUGUCAAUUUAUUGUAUUUGAUUGCUACAGUUGAACCUGCCUAAGUUGAAUCCAAAAUUCCAUUAAAAUAUUGAUCAACGUAGAUAAAAUUUGACCUACAGAUUGUUAAUUAAUGGAAAACAACAAUUUGGCAUGUAAAAUAAGAUCGACUUAGAACGAAUUAUAUGACUUACUGUAGGCAAGUUUAACUGUAUAUACAUAUAGGAGUGAAAGGUGAAAUUUUGCCCUCCCUGACAUGUUAUUGUACUGAAUACUCCCUACGUCCCCAAAUAGUUGCGAAAAACUUGCAAGUGAUUUGGAUUGGACUCAAACCCAUGACCUCCAGAUAACUAAUAUAUAUGUCUGUAGUAAACUUACUAAUGUGAUUAUCUAAAUUUUAUUUUAUCUCUUUUAGUAAAAUAAAUGUUAGGUCAAAAUAUUCUAAAAAUUGUAAAUGAUUGUGAAU